GUGGAGCAUGUGGCUUAAUUUGACUCAACGCGGGGAAUCUUACUAGGUCAGGACCAUCGCGAGUCGGUUUGUGAUUCGUAUUGUAUGAUUGUCGCAGUGUCGCUGCUACAAAAUUAUUGGAUGAGUGGUGCAUGGCCGUUCUUAGUUCGUGAUGCAAUUUGUCUACUUAAUUGUUGGUUACGUAUGUUUCAUCGCAUCGUAACCGUAACGAACGAGACCGUGUUGUGUACCGUAGCUGGCGACACUGCUUCGAUCAUCGGUACAUACACAGAGCAAAUCGAAACUUGCUAGGAAGGACGCGGCAAUAACAGGUCUGUGAUGCCCUCAGAUGUUCUAGGCCGCACACGUGCUACAAUUUGAUUGUUUCAUCGUGUGUGUAAGAUUCACCGCUGCGAGUCGAACCAACGUCACCGAUGGUUGGGAUCGUCACUUGUAACUAUUUGACGUAACAACCAGGAAUGCCUCGUACGGUGGGUUCAACAGAUUCCCUGGAAUCCGUCCCUGCCCUUUGUACACACCGCCCGUCGCUCUUACCGAUGGUGGUAGGUUCGAGUUGCGAGGAGUCUCUUCACCGGGGCGAAUCGUAACGAGAACCUACUGCUAAAGGAAAGAGAAGUCGUAACAAGGCAUCG
RNAcentral lists this ribosomal RNA (632 nucleotides) under Amphistegina lessonii. RNAcentral's name for it is "SSU rRNA". It matches the Rfam family "Eukaryotic small subunit ribosomal RNA", at positions 1176 to 1804 of the family's 1831-position model. The record is from RNAcentral. Lineage: Eukaryota; Foraminifera; Rotaliida; Amphisteginidae.